UUUCCCUCAGCCAUUUACCUGGUUCUUGGCAACUGAGGGUCAAUGCUUCUUGCUUAUUAAUGUUCUGUAUAAUAAAUACUAGCUCGGUUGUUUUAGUCAUGUGAAAGCCUGAGCAAAUAGAAGCUUUUAGUGAAUAAGGAGCAGACAGAAAACUCUGCCUUUUUUUAAAACCCUUUUUGUUUACUGCCUCUCUACAGCCAAUCAUCACUCUGACUAGCAUUUAAAAACAGCCCUCCCGGACAGUGUGAUGGGCAGAGGACUCUGGCAUUUACAUCACUUAAGCCAAGGAAGGGCAGCAUCAGUGUGGUUCACAAAGGGAUGACCUCUCUUCUCAGAAACAGUACUGUGCUAGGUCUGGGGAUACCAAUCUAAAGAAUGAACCAGGGUGCAGCUAGGUGGCUCCGUGGAUUGUUGAGCCAGGCUUGGAGACUGGAGUUCAACUCUAAACUCAGAUACUUCCCAGCUGUGUGCACCUGGGAAACUCUUUAUAAAGUCAGAGACAGGAAGCCAACAUUUACUGACCCCAAUACCAUAAAAAAGGAGGUAACUGAGACUGGUUCACCAUCUUUAUAAAAGCAAUAAGGUGAGUUGCCCUUUGAUGGAAUGGAUUAAGGACCAGAUAUCCUCACACAUAUAAGGAAGGGAGCAGGAGAGUUCACUGGAUUCUGGGCAUUUUGAGUCCAAAGGCAGCCACUCCAGAGGGCCACUAUUAUAAUUCCUGCACCCCCUCUUUUUUCUAAAAUAGGAUGUUUACUAUAUUUGAGACUGAAGAUACUGAACUCUCAAAUAACUGACACUCCAUUGUAGUCUUUGUGUUGCUGUUUGGAAGAGCUGGUGGUUAAAUGUUCAGUGUGAGCUCUUAUACCUUGGAAAUUGGCAAACACUGAAAGCCAGAGCUUGAUUGAUUGUUUUGACUUAAGAAAGUGACUGAGAAAAUGUUAAUAAUAUGUAUUCAGCGUAUGUGUGACCUAUGUUUUUGUGUGUGUCCUAUGUUUUUGGAGAGACAAUUGUUAAAUAUUUACCAGAGAACCAUUUCAAGACCCCUUUGCCCACAUGUACUGUGCUCCCGCAUGACACUUUAUCUUAGACUGACUCUAAGACUUCCUGUGAGCUGAAACUCACUAUAACAAAAGAAUCAUACUUUAGAUAUUGUUGGUCUGUUUGAUUCUUUUAUGAAUUGUCCUCUAACUUAUAGUAUUUAGAGAAUAAUUAUAAAGGACCAGGAUAGAAAUUGCUAUUAGAGUGGGUAUUCUCCCCCUCUCCUUCUCCCUCUCCCUGUCCUCUACUCCUCCCCUCUCUCUACCCCUUCCUCCAUUCUCUUUCAUUCUGCCCCACCUCAUAGAUUGUAAUGGA
RNAcentral lists this long non-coding RNA (1353 nucleotides) under Monodelphis domestica (gray short-tailed opossum). RNAcentral's name for it is "lncRNA (ENSMODG00000040966.1)". Lineage: Eukaryota; Metazoa; Chordata; Mammalia; Didelphimorphia; Didelphidae. The record is from RNAcentral.